UCCCUCUUAAACCGUAACGAAUGGUAGAGCAUGCGGCUGUUAACCGCAGUGUCGACAGUUCGAGUCUGCCAGGGGCAGCCA
RNAcentral lists this transfer RNA (81 nucleotides) under Bacillota bacterium. RNAcentral describes it as "Firmicutes bacterium tRNA-Asn". Lineage: Bacteria; Bacillati; Bacillota. The record is from RNAcentral.